This 490-nucleotide ribosomal RNA is filed under the name uncultured bacterium. Its description in RNAcentral is "partial 16S ribosomal RNA". It matches the Rfam family "Bacterial small subunit ribosomal RNA", at positions 30 to 507 of the family's 1533-position model. The record is from RNAcentral.
AUUGAACGCUGGCGGCAGGCCUAACACAUGCAAGUCGAACGGUAACAGGAAACAGCUUGCUGUUUCGCUGACGAGUGGCGGACGGGUGAGUAAUGUCUGGGAAACUGCCUGAUGGAGGGGGAUAACUACUGGAAACGGUAGCUAAUACCGCAUAACGUCGCAAGACCAAAGAGGGGGACCCUCGGGCCUCUUGCCAUCGGAUGUGCCCAGAUGGGAUUAGCUUGUUGGUGGGGUAACGGCUCACCAAGGCGACGAUCCCUAGCUGGUCUGAGAGGAUGACCAGCCACACUGGAACUGAGACACGGUCCAGACUCCUACGGGAGGCAGCAGUGGGGAAUAUUGCACAAUGGGCGCAAGCCUGAUGCAGCCAUGCCGCGUGUAUGAAGAAGGCCUUCGGGUUGUAAAGCCCUUUCCGCGGGGAGGAAGGGAGUAAAGUUAAUACCUUUGCUCAUUGACGUUACCCGCAGAAGAAGCACCGGCUAACUCCGUG